RNAcentral lists this ribosomal RNA (324 nucleotides) under uncultured eukaryote. RNAcentral's name for it is "partial 18S ribosomal RNA". It matches the Rfam family "Eukaryotic small subunit ribosomal RNA", at positions 1470 to 1796 of the family's 1831-position model. The record is from RNAcentral.
CCCUUAGAUGUUCUGGGCCGCACGCGCGCUACACUGAUGCAUUCAACGAGUUUCUUCCUGGUCCGAGAGGAAUGGGUAACCUUUUGAAAGUGCAUCGUGAUAGGGAUAGACUAUUGCAAUUAUUGGUCUUCAACGAGGAAUUCCUCGUAGACGUAGUUCAUCAGACUGCAUCGAUUACGUCCCUGCCCUUUGUACACACCGCCCGUCGCUCCUACCGAUUGAAUGCUCAGGUGAGCCAUUCGGACUUUCAUCAUGCUGGUUUCCAGUUUUGAUGAAGGAAAGUCUUGCGAACCUUAUCAUUUAGAGGAAGGAGAAGUCGUAACA